RNAcentral lists this ribosomal RNA (464 nucleotides) under Vreelandella stevensii. RNAcentral describes it as "partial 16S ribosomal RNA". It matches the Rfam family "Bacterial small subunit ribosomal RNA", at positions 339 to 795 of the family's 1533-position model. The record is from RNAcentral. Lineage: Bacteria; Pseudomonadati; Pseudomonadota; Gammaproteobacteria; Oceanospirillales; Halomonadaceae.
CCUCGGGUGGCAGCAGUGGGGAAUAUUGGACAAUGGGCGAAAGCCUGAUCCAGCCAUGCCGCGUGUGUGAAGAAGGCCUUCGGGUUGUAAAGCACUUUCAGUGGGGAAGAAAGCCUUGGGGCUAAUACCCUCGAGGAAGGACAUCACCCACAGAAGAAGCACCGGCUAACUCCGUGCCAGCAGCCGCGGUAAUACGGAGGGUGCGAGCGUUAAUCGGAAUUACUGGGCGUAAAGCGCGCGUAGGCGGUCUGAUAAGCCGGUUGUGAAAGCCCCGGGCUCAACCUGGGAACGGCAUCCGGAACUGUCAGGCUAGAGUGCAGGAGAGGAAGGUAGAAUUCCCGGUGUAGCGGUGAAAUGCGUAGAGAUCGGGAGGAAUACCAGUGGCGAAGGCGGUCUUCUGGACUGACACUGACGCUGAGGUGCGAAAGCGUGGGUAGCAAACAGGAUUAGAUACCCCGGUAGUC